UCAGUAAUCGUAUUUUCAAUGGUUUUGGCAUGUUAAAUUUUGACAAAAAAAAAUUAUUCAAGUACUGCAAAAAUAUACUUAACAAUGCUAGCAAGCUUUUAGCAGUUACUUGUUAGAUAAAAUUCUCUAUGUUCCCUACUAACGAAAUAUUUAAUAAUCUGUUAGUCCUUUUUACUGAUUCAUAUUUCCCUCGUAAAUAAAUAUUAUCUACAAGAAAAAUAUAAUGAAGUAGUUUUGUUGGUUUUACUUGUAAGCUUUAAACUUUGAUUUCAUUCAGCCCGUCAGCAAAAACCGUGUAAGUUGCGUUUCAACCGUCGCUCUUACUGUGCGUCUGCGUUGAAUUUCGUUAAAUCUGCUGUUUUGUGUGUAUAAUUUUAUAGUAAUGAGUUCCAGAUCUAGAAAAAUGUUAAACCUUGUAUGUGGAGAAAGUAAUAAUACGAAAAAAGCGGGUGACUAUAAUAAUACCUACCCAGUCAGUGUAAAUGUGAAAGAAUCUAGCCCAUCGGAGUUGACCAUGAUAACAGUAGAGGUUCUUCAGACCUAAACGAAUCUGCCACUAAAACUGCAGACUUUUUGUAUGACGUUUUUUAUUUGAUUUUGGUUAUGUUAAAUUAAUAAAGAAUUGUUUUUUUAUUUUAACAACAUUGAUGAUGAUGAUUGUACUAUUUGGUAUUGUUUUUAUACAUAAUAAAGUAUUA
This is a long non-coding RNA of Amyelois transitella, 698 nucleotides long. RefSeq lists it as uncharacterized. The transcript has 3 exons. The record is from RefSeq and is a predicted model, not a curated record. NCBI's taxonomy places the organism in Eukaryota, Metazoa, Arthropoda, Insecta, Lepidoptera, Pyralidae.